This 779-nucleotide long non-coding RNA is filed under the name Ananas comosus (pineapple). Its description in RNAcentral is "long non-coding RNA (ACOM_LNC000119)". The record is from RNAcentral. Lineage: Eukaryota; Viridiplantae; Streptophyta; Magnoliopsida; Poales; Bromeliaceae.
ACUUGUCUAAUCCUACAGUAGGAUUUAGUACUUAUUUAAUCUUUAAGGGUGUGUUUGGUUCGCACUAUGAAAGAUUACUAGCAAUAAAAAGAUGUUCGAGAAUUUUAUUCCUAUUAAUCCUAUUACUAAGAAUGUGACAUUCCUGUGUUUGGUUCGCACGGUUAUAUUAUUUAGUCAUGUUAUUUAAAUUUACAAAAAAUAUACAAUUAAUUUAUUUAUUUUCUUUAAUUAAUUUUAAAUAAUGCUACAAAAAAUUUCAACAUCUUUUUAAGAAAAAGGGAGAGAGAACAUAGGUUAGAGAGAGAGAGCAUAAUUAAAGAAAUAAGAAGAGAAAUAGAAUUGAGAUUAGAGAGAGUGAGAGAGUUGAGAUUUUAGAAAAAAAGGGGGGGAGAGAGCUUAGUUUAGAGAGAGAAAAAGAGUUGAAGUUUAGAGAGAAAAAAUAAGUUUAGAGAGAGAUAUGAGGUUAGAGUGUAAAGAAAAAUAAAACCAACUAGCCGGCGGAUAGGGAGAAAGAAAGAGAUUAGACAUAUUAUGAUUACCCCAAUUCAUUAAUAUGAGAAUACAGACCCUCCCUCAAGGGGAUGAGAUUAGUACUUUGGGAUGAAUCUCAUUCCCAAGUAAAUCUAAUAUUAACAACUAGAUUACUUAGUGCGUUUAGCCAAACACCGUCAUAUUUUUUUAUUUCUAUCGGAUUAAUAGGAAUCUUAAAAAGAUAGUGCAAACCAAACGCGCCCUAAAAGGUGAUGAAUAAACUAGUUAGCUAGACAGUUUAUGUUCAG